This 784-nucleotide ribosomal RNA is filed under the name Salmonella enterica subsp. enterica serovar Give. Its description in RNAcentral is "bacterial LSU rRNA". It matches the Rfam family "Bacterial large subunit ribosomal RNA", at positions 1 to 816 of the family's 2925-position model. The record is from RNAcentral. Lineage: Bacteria; Pseudomonadati; Pseudomonadota; Gammaproteobacteria; Enterobacterales; Enterobacteriaceae.
GGGUUGUGAGGUUAAGCGACUAAGCGUACACGGUGGAUGCCCUGGCAGUCAGAGGCGAUGAAGGGCGUGCUAAUCUGCGAUAAGCGCCGGUAAGGUGAUAUGAACCGUUAUAACCGGCGAUACCCGAAUGGGGAAACCCAGUGUGUUUCGACACACUAUCAUUAACUGAAUCCAUAGGUUAAUGAGGCGAACCGGGGGAACUGAAACAUCUAAGUACCCCGAGGAAAAGAAAUCAACCGAGAUUCCCCCAGUAGCGGCGAGCGAACGGGGAGGAGCCCAGAGCCUGAAUCAGCAUAUGUGUUAGUGGAAGCGUCUGGAAAGGCGCGCGAUACAGGGUGACAGCCCCGUACACAAAAGCGCAUGUGCUGUGAGCUCGAUGAGUAGGGCGGGACACGUGGUAUCCUGUCUGAAUAUGGGGGGACCAUCCUCCAAGGCUAAAUACUCCUGACUGACCGAUAGUGAACCAGUACCGUGAGGGAAAGGCGAAAAGAACCCCGGCGAGGGGAGUGAAAAAGAACCUGAAACCGUGUACGUACAAGCAGUGGGAGCACAGGUUUACCUGUGUGACUGCGUACCUUUUGUAUAAUGGGUCAGCGACUUAUAUUCUGUAGCAAGGUUAACCGAAUAGGGGAGCCGGAGGGAAACCGAGUCUUAAUUGGGCGUUAAGUUGCAGGGUAUAGACCCGAAACCCGGUGAUCUAGCCAUGGGCAGGUUGAAGGUUGGGUAACACUAACUGGAGGACCGAACCGACUAAUGUUGAAAAAUUAGCGGAUGACCUGUGGCU